RNAcentral lists this microRNA precursor (127 nucleotides) under Myotis brandtii (Brandt's bat). Its description in RNAcentral is "mir-9193 microRNA precursor family". It matches the Rfam family "mir-9193 microRNA precursor family". Lineage: Eukaryota; Metazoa; Chordata; Mammalia; Chiroptera; Vespertilionidae. The record is from Rfam by way of RNAcentral.
GGUGUACCGGUGGGGUCCCUCAGCCUGGCCUGCGCCUUCUCACAAUCUGGGCCCCCUCAGGGGGUGUUGGAGAGCUGGUUUCAGCCCCAUCCCUGCAGGCCAGGCUGAGGGACCCCACCAGUGCAUG